AUCCAGCUGACAAAUCCUAAAUAGGACGAAACGCGCGUCCUGGAU
Molecule: non-coding RNA, 45 nt
Organism: Schistosoma mansoni
Lineage: Eukaryota; Metazoa; Platyhelminthes; Trematoda; Strigeidida; Schistosomatidae
Source: Rfam